Paramuricea clavata is the source of this 158-nucleotide non-coding RNA. The record is from the annotation of a GenBank genome assembly. Lineage: Eukaryota; Metazoa; Cnidaria; Anthozoa; Malacalcyonacea; Plexauridae.
UACAUAUAUGUUAUUUACCGGCUGCGAGGUCCGGAUGAGAAAAACUGUGCCCGAGGUCUUGAAAACGGCCCGAGCCCGAAGGGCGAGGGACGUUUUCAAGACAGAGGGCACAGUUUUUCUCAUCCGGACCGACGCUGCCGGUAAAUAACGUGUUUAUU